RNAcentral lists this long non-coding RNA (1101 nucleotides) under Equus asinus (donkey). Its description in RNAcentral is "lncRNA (ENSEASG00005025801.1)". Lineage: Eukaryota; Metazoa; Chordata; Mammalia; Perissodactyla; Equidae. The record is from RNAcentral.
GGGUGGGACCCCUGUGCCCUAUUUCCAGGAAUGCUUGAGCCAGCAGAAGGGCUGACAUUGUUUCCAAUCACUUCUGGCCGCUAGGCCUGGUUUGUUUGUAGAGUCACAAACUCAGGAUGGAUGUGAAAGCAUCAAAAGCAUCAGAUCGGCCCCGUCGACACCACCCCACACCCGGGAACAUAUGAAGAAAGGCAUUAAAGAGGAAAGUCCCUGGAAAGGAGGAGGGGCCGGCCCAGGUGGCAGGGAGCGUGUGAGUGUAUCAGGCAUCAUCCGAGCGUGGACAAGAGAUGAAGGGAGCACAGCAAAGAGCCCCCGAGGCUGAGACCCUCAUCACCUGGGCUCCUGGGCUCCAUCUUCCCAACCUUGCUACCCGAGGCGUGGUCCCCAUGGACCAGCAGCAUCCGCAUCCCCUGGCUGCUCACUGGAGAUGCCGAAUCCCCGGCCCCACCUCCCAGAUGACAGCCAUCAGGGUCUGCCUUUGAACAAGCUCCGCUGGUGGUUCCUGAACUCAAUAAAGGUUGGCCACCAUGGGUUUCAACCCAUUGGAUCCCCUACUGACAAGCUGAGCGUUCCGAAACACGGGAUCUGCAUGGUUGUCCAUGAAGGGUGCAGCAUGCCACUCAUAACCCUGCACGUGUCCACCACUUCCCCCUCCCCGUUCCCUUGUCUCUGUCUCCCUUCUUCAUUCUGCAUCCCCAGCACUCCCUCUUCUGUCCUAAUACGCUCACCUCUGACCCCCUGACCCCUUGGCUGACCUUUGCUCCCCAUCACCUGAGACAGGGCGACACCUUCGGAUUGUGUCCGACAUGCUUUGGUCCCACUGAAGGGACCGGAACAAGCCACCCUGGCAUAGGCCUCUUCUGUCUAUGGAUUAUUUUCAGCUAACGGCCACUGAGAACCAGCAGAUGCAGGAAACGCUCCAAGGACGGGGCAGAAGGGUCCUUUCUGUACAGGAAAUUCACUUUUCCGGAGGAGAAAUGUCCAUCUGUCGAGACACCUGGAAAGAGCGGCCUCUUCACAACUCUUGUCCAUGGAGAACGCAGGGGCCGGAGUCGGCGUCACAAACCCUACUAAUUACGCUCGUCCACCAUACUUUCCUGG